RNAcentral lists this ribosomal RNA (255 nucleotides) under uncultured bacterium. RNAcentral describes it as "partial 16S ribosomal RNA". It matches the Rfam family "Bacterial small subunit ribosomal RNA", at positions 524 to 776 of the family's 1533-position model. The record is from RNAcentral.
GACGUAGGGCGCGAGCGUUGUCCGGAUUUAUUGGGCGUAAAGAGCUCGUAGGCGGCUUGUUACGUCGACUGUGAAAACCCGCGGCUCAACUGCGGGCCUGCAGUCGAUACGGGCAGGCGUAGAGUUCGGUAGGGGAGACGUGGAAUUCCUGGUGUAGCGGUGAAAUGCGCAGAUAUCAGGAGGAACACCAGCGGCGAAGGCGGCGCUCUGGGCCGGUACUGACACUGAGGAGCGAAAGCGUGGGUAGCAAACAGG